GACGAACGCUGGCGGCGUGCUUAACACAUGCAAGUCGAACGAGGUCCAUGCAGUCGCAAGACUGCGGAAGAUCUAGUGGCGAACGGGUGCGUAACACGUGAGAAACCUGUCCCGGUCUCUGGAAUAACAAGUGGAAACACUUGCUAAUACCGGAUGCCGUCGGACCAUCGCAUGAUGGACUGACGAAAGGGCUACCGGAUCGGGUGGGUCUCGCGGCCUAUCAGCUUGUUGGUGAGGUAACGGCUCACCAAGGCAUCGACGGGUAGCUGGUCUGAGAGGAUGAUCAGCCACACUGGGACUGAGACACGGCCCAGACUCCUACGGGAGGCAGCAGUGGGGAAUCUUGCACAAUGGGCGAAAGCAUGAUGCAGCAACGCCGCGUGCGGGAAGAAGGCCCUAGGGUUGUAAACCGCUUUCAGCAGGGAAGAAACUGACGGUACCUGUAGAAGAAGGUGCGGCCAACUACGUG
This 469-nucleotide ribosomal RNA is filed under the name uncultured bacterium. RNAcentral's name for it is "partial 16S ribosomal RNA". It matches the Rfam family "Bacterial small subunit ribosomal RNA", at positions 28 to 507 of the family's 1533-position model. The record is from RNAcentral.